UGCAUGGCUGUCGUCAGCUCGUGUCGUGAGAUGUGGGUUAAGUCCCGCAACGAGCGCAACCCUACUCUUAUGUUGCCAGCACGUUAUGGUGGGGACUCGUAAGAGACUGCCGGGGUCGAACUCGGAGGAAGGUGGGGACGGACGUCAAGUCAUCAUGCCCCUUAUGUCCAGGGCUUCACACAUGCUACAAUGGCCAGUACAGAGGGCUGCGAGACCGUGAGGUGGAGCGAAUCCCUUAAAGCUGGUCUCAGUUCGGAUCGGGGUCUGCAACUCGACCCCGUGAAGUCGGAGUCGCUAGUAAUCGCAGAUCAGCAACGCUGCGGUGAAUACGUUCCCGGGCCUU
RNAcentral lists this ribosomal RNA (343 nucleotides) under uncultured Rhodococcus sp. RNAcentral's name for it is "bacterial SSU rRNA". It matches the Rfam family "Bacterial small subunit ribosomal RNA", at positions 1042 to 1382 of the family's 1533-position model. The record is from RNAcentral. Lineage: Bacteria; Bacillati; Actinomycetota; Actinomycetes; Mycobacteriales; Nocardiaceae.